Molecule: long non-coding RNA, 220 nt
Filed under: Linum usitatissimum (flax)
Lineage: Eukaryota; Viridiplantae; Streptophyta; Magnoliopsida; Malpighiales; Linaceae
Description: long non-coding RNA (LUSI_LNC000224)
Source: RNAcentral
AGCUCCAGAAACCUUAUAGUUCAUAUACUGAGAGAGGAAAUCAGCAAAUUUGUCACAAGAAUGUCCAACGGAUGCCACCAUCUCAGUGAUCCCAGUUCUGGAAUCUUUGCCUAGUGGGAUAUUGUGAUGCUGGAGAUACAAUUUGAGCUCGGUGGCGAUGUUGGGUCGGGAGAUAUCAAUUGUUCCUUCUCCAUCCUGGCUAGCUUCUUCUGGGAAGAAU